RNAcentral lists this ribosomal RNA (536 nucleotides) under uncultured Actinomycetes bacterium. Its description in RNAcentral is "bacterial SSU rRNA". It matches the Rfam family "Bacterial small subunit ribosomal RNA", at positions 369 to 896 of the family's 1533-position model. Lineage: Bacteria; Bacillati; Actinomycetota; Actinomycetes. The record is from RNAcentral.
CAAUGGGCGAAAGCCUGACCCAGCAACGCCGCGUGAAGGACGAAAUCCCUUCGGGAUGUAAACUUCAAAAGUUGGGGAAGAAAUGCCGGAGGAUAAAACCCUUCGGAGAUGACGGUACCCAACGUAAGCCCCGGCUAACUACGUGCCAGCAGCCGCGGUAAUACGUAGGGUGCGAGCGUUGUCCGGAAUUACUGGGCGUAAAGAGCUCGUAGGUGGUUUGUCGCGUUGUUCGUGAAAACUCACAACUCAAUUGUGGGCGUGCGGGCGAUACGGGCAGACUGGAGUACUGCAGGGGAGACUGGAAUUCCUGGUGUAGCGGUGGAAUGCGCAGAUAUCAGGAGGAACACCGGUGGCGAAGGCGGGUCUCUGGGCAGUAACUGACGCUGAGGAGCGAAAGCGUGGGGAGCGAACAGGAUUAGAUACCCUGGUAGUCCACGCCGUAAACGGUGGGUACUAGGUGUGGGUUUCCUUCCUUGGGAUCCGUGCCGUAGCUAACGCAUUAAGUACCCCGCCUGGGGAGUACGGCCGCAAGGCUA